ACGAACGCUGGCGGCGUGCUUAACACAUGCAAGUCGAACGAGGGUAGCAAUACCCUAGUGGCGGACGGGUGAGUAACGCGUAGGUAACCUGCCUCUUAGUGGGGGAUACCCAGUCGAAAGAUUGGCUAAUACCGCAUAAGCUGGUGGCUUGAAAUAGCUAUCAGGAAAGAUUUAUUGCUAGGAGAGGGGCCUGCGUUCGAUUAGCUAGUUGGUGAGGUAAAGGCUCACCAAGGCGACGAUCGAUAGCUGGUCUGAGAGGACGAUCAGCCACACUGGAACUGAGACACGGUCCAGACUCCUACGGGAGGCAGCAGUGGGGAAUUUUCCGCAAUGGGCGAAAGCCUGACGGAGCAACGCCGCGUGGAUGAUGACGGCUUUCGGGUUGUAAAGUCCUUUCAGCAGGGACGAAAAAAAUGACGGUACCUGCAGAAGAAGCAUCGGCUAACUACGU
RNAcentral lists this ribosomal RNA (451 nucleotides) under uncultured bacterium. RNAcentral's name for it is "bacterial SSU rRNA". It matches the Rfam family "Bacterial small subunit ribosomal RNA", at positions 29 to 506 of the family's 1533-position model. The record is from RNAcentral.